This 492-nucleotide ribosomal RNA is filed under the name uncultured bacterium. RNAcentral describes it as "partial 16S ribosomal RNA". It matches the Rfam family "Bacterial small subunit ribosomal RNA", at positions 30 to 507 of the family's 1533-position model. The record is from RNAcentral.
AUUGAACGCUGGCGGCAUGCUUUACACAUGCAAGUCGAACGGUAACAGGCCUUCGGGUGCUGACGAGUGGCGAACGGGUGAGUAAUGCAUCGGAACGUACCCAGAGGUGGGGGAUAACGCAGCGAAAGCUGUGCUAAUACCGCAUGUGAUCUGAGGAUGAAAGCGGGGGACCGAGCAGCAAUGUUUGGCCUCGCGCCUUUGUAGCGGCCGAUGUCGGAUUAGCUAGUUGGUGGGGUAAAGGCCUACCAAGGCGACGAUCCGUAGCUGGUCUGAGAGGACGACCAGCCACACUGGGACUGAGACACGGCCCAGACUCCUACGGGAGGCAGCAGUGGGGAAUUUUGGACAAUGGGCGCAAGCCUGAUCCAGCAAUGCCGCGUGCGGGAAGAAGGCCUUCGGGUUGUAAACCGCUUUUGGCAGGAACGAAACGGUGUCCGCUAAUACCGGGCGCUAAUGACGGUACCUGAAGAAUAAGCACCGGCUAACUACGUG